Molecule: ribosomal RNA, 497 nt
Filed under: uncultured bacterium
Lineage: Bacteria
Description: partial 16S ribosomal RNA
Rfam family: Bacterial small subunit ribosomal RNA
Source: RNAcentral
GACGAACGCUGGCGGCGUGCCUAAUACAUGCAAGUUGAGCGCUGACGGUUGGUACUUGUUCCAACUGGAUGAGCAGCGAACGGGUGAGUAACGCGUGGGGAAUCUGCCUUUGAGCGGGGGACAACAUUUGGAAACGAAUGCUAAUACCGCAUAAAAACUUUAAACACAAGUUUUAAGUUUGAAAGAUGCAAUUGCAUCACUCAAAGAUGAUCCCGCGUUGUAUUAGCUAGUUGGUGAGGUAAAGGCUCACCAAGGCGAUGAUACAUAGCCGACCUGAGAGGGUGAUCGGACACAUUGGGACUGAGACACGGCCCAAACUCCUACGGGAGGCAGCAGUAGGGGAUCUUCGGCAAUGGACGAAAGUCUGACCGAGCAACGCCGCGUGAGUGAAGAAGGUUUUCGGAUCGUAAAACUCUGUUGGUAGAGAAGAACGUUGGUGAGAGUGGAAAGCUCAUCAAGUGACGGUAACUACCCAGAAAGGGACGGCUAACUACGUG